Molecule: unclassified non-coding RNA, 242 nt
Filed under: Hevea brasiliensis (rubber tree)
Lineage: Eukaryota; Viridiplantae; Streptophyta; Magnoliopsida; Malpighiales; Euphorbiaceae
Source: RNAcentral
GCCUUGAAAUGGAAUCCCUUCCUUGUGCAUUAGCUUUGCUAGCCCUAUGGCUGUGGCAUAAUCCCCUUCUCUCUGCAAAAUUCAAAAGCUUCUGCAUAUAAAUCUCCCACAUCAUAUUUCGUAGACUCAAAUUUGAAUGUGAAUCCUAAGUCCAAUAGCUUCUUUGAUGAGCAAGAAAUAGCUUUCGGGGAUUCUUCAAUACCCUCAAAUUUGGUAGGAAUAUCAUACUCAGGAUACUUUUG